GUUAACGAUUUCUGUAAAUUACACUGUAUUUUACUGUAAUAUGAACUGUAUUUUACCGUAGGGCAUGUUAUACAGUAUGUUGCUGUAUUUUGAUGUUGCAUUGUGGGAAAUGUAAUCUUUGUGCCAGUAAAAUACUGUAUUUUCUAUUUACUGUAAAAUUUACAGUUAAUUAAAAAUACUGUAUUUUAAUAGCAGGUGGUGCUAAUUUGUUUUUUGGGGAUUAACUCUCUGAUUAAGCUAUCUUAUACAAAUAAUGUAAUAUUAUUGUAUUUAUAUAUUGAUUUAAAAUGUAAAGUAAAAUUCAGAAGACUUAAACAAAGUCCUAAAAACAAUCAAACAACUAAAUUAGUGCAAGUAGAGCUGAUUUAUUUAUCAAAACACAAUAUAAUCAUCUUCAUUAAAGUAUUUUGUAUAUUCGAAUUAAUUUAUAAAUGUAAGUGUUUAAAAAUUAGAGAUAGGUUUUGCCGGUUGUUGAUGAGUGAUGAAUACCAGCUGUGAAUUUUCUCAACGCGUGUAAAGCAGCCAUGACACAGGAAACCGAAAUAGUGUUCCAAUAUAAAGUGAGGGUCCUUGACAGUGGCCGAACCCGCAUACUACACGAUAUAAUGAUUCCCCACCUCGGGAGCUAUAGGGAACGAAUUGAGACACAGCCCUGGAUGUAAUCACGUCUGUGCUGAUCACGUGCCUGUACACAAACCCGCAGCUCACUUGCAAAAGAUUAUCCGGUUAUUUAUUACACGUAAAGUAAACGUUUUUAAUGUUAUCAUGAAUCAAUGUUAUAGUUUUGUAUGUCACAUUAUUUUUUGAGAAGAGUCAUGACUCAACGCGGACCUUACACGCUGUUAAUUUGUGUGUGCAUAUGGCGGUACAGGCUCUUUUGCACUCUAUGACCAGCCAUCAUUAAAUCGAAAUACAGUAAAAAAAAAAAUGAGCGCGAAACCCUGACACUUUACAGAAAGGCACGGAUAUCCCCGCCCGAAGAAGAAGAAGAGCACAGGACAAUGGUUGCAAGUUAAACAGCUGAACAUUUCACCAUCUGCAAAGAACAUUUCACCAUCGACAUAUCAACAUAAACGGUCCUCUUUUUCGAGUUUGACUGCGUUUGGUACAGGUCACAACAACAACGGCAGAUGUAGAGACCACACUUUCCCUUGCUUCCACUCCACGGCUGAUCAUGCUUGGUCACAACAACAACGGCAGAUGUAGAGACCACGCUUUCCCUUGCUUCCAUUCCACGGCUGAUCAUGCUUGGUAAGAUUCUUUAACACAUACUUUGGGAACAUUAAAAAGAUUAAAGGGAUAGUUGGGCCAAAAAAUUAUAUUAAUCCCAUGAUUUACUUACCCCCAAGCUGUCCGAGAUGCAUAUGUCCAUCGUUUUUCAGACAAACACAUUUUCAGAUAUUUUAGAAUAUGUUUUAGAACUUUCAGUUAAUUAAAUGUGAAGUUACGGGGUCCACGUCCUUCAAGUCCAAAAAAUGUGCGUCCAUCCUUCACAAAAUAAAUCCAAGUGGCUCCAGGAUGAUAAACAAAGGUCUUCUGAGGGUAAUUUGUGUGGUGCUGUUGGGAUUAAUAUCAUUUUUUGGCCGAACUAUCCCUUUAAUGCUUUGUUAAUGUUAGGCAUUAUGCUUAAAUUUUGGCAUUCUUCUUGAGUUUUGAAUAUCAAGAGUAAUGAAAUGAUGAUUGGCCUUUUUAGGUACCCCCCCCCAAAUUGUAUUCUGUACUCAUUUACUUAUUCUUGUGUUGUUCUUAACCUGCAUGAGUUAAAUUUCUUGAGCGAAGAUAAUAUUUUGAUAAAUGAUGGUAAUCUAAUAGUUGACAAU
Misgurnus anguillicaudatus (oriental weatherfish) is the source of this 1820-nucleotide non-coding RNA. The record is from RefSeq and is a predicted model, not a curated record. NCBI's taxonomy places the organism in Eukaryota, Metazoa, Chordata, Actinopteri, Cypriniformes, Cobitidae.